Molecule: ribosomal RNA, 265 nt
Filed under: uncultured archaeon
Lineage: Archaea
Description: partial 16S ribosomal RNA
Rfam family: Archaeal small subunit ribosomal RNA
Source: RNAcentral
ACACGACUACAUUAGAUACCCCCGUAGUCCCAGCCCUAAACGAUGCGCGUUAGGUGUAUCGGUGACCACGAGUCACCGAGGUGCCGAAGGGAAACCGUGAAACGUGCCGCCUGGGAAGUACGGUCGCAAGGCUGAAACUUAAAGGAAUUGGCGGGGGAGCACAACAACGGGUGGAGCUUGCGGUUUAAUUGGAUUCAACGCCGGAAAUCUUACCGGGACCGACAGCAACAUGAAGGCCAGGCUGAAGACUUUGCCGGAUUAGCUG